Molecule: ribosomal RNA, 420 nt
Filed under: uncultured bacterium
Lineage: Bacteria
Description: bacterial SSU rRNA
Rfam family: Bacterial small subunit ribosomal RNA
Source: RNAcentral
UAAGGAAUAUUGCUCAAUGGGAGAAAUCCUGAAGCAGCAACGCCGCGUGGAGGAUGAAGGGUCUAUGACUUGUAAACUCCUGUAAAGAAGGAAAAAAUUCCCAUUAGAUGGGAGAUGAUGGUACUUCUGGAGUAAGCCCCGGCUAACUACGUGCCAGCAGCCGCGGUAAUACGUAGGGGGCAAGCGUUGUCCGGAUUUACUGGGUGUAAAGGGUGCUCAGGCGGAUUUGUAAGUCAGAGGGGAAAUCUUACAGCUUAACUGUGAAACUGCCGUUGAUACUGCAAGCCGAGAGUAUGGAAGAGAGUGAUGGAAUAUCUGGUGUAGCAGUGAAAUGCGUAGAUAUCAGAUAGAACACCAAUGGCGAAGGCAGUCACUUGGUCCAUUACUGACGCUAAAGCACGAAAGCGUGGGUAGCAAACA